RNAcentral lists this ribosomal RNA (425 nucleotides) under uncultured bacterium. RNAcentral describes it as "bacterial SSU rRNA". It matches the Rfam family "Bacterial small subunit ribosomal RNA", at positions 64 to 507 of the family's 1533-position model. The record is from RNAcentral.
GAACGGCAGCACGGGUGCUUGCACCUGGUGGCGAGUGGCGAACGGGUGAGUAAUACAUCGGAACAUGUCCUGUAGUGGGGGAUAGCCCGGCGAAAGCCGGAUUAAUACCGCAUACGAUCUACGGAUGAAAGCGGGGGAUCUUCGGACCUCGCGCUAUAGGGUUGGCCGAUGGCUGAUUAGCUAGUUGGUGGGGUAAAGGCCUACCAAGGCGACGAUCAGUAGCUGGUCUGAGAGGACGACCAGCCACACUGGGACUGAGACACGGCCCAGACUCCUACGGGAGGCAGCAGUGGGGAAUUUUGCGCAAUGGGGGAAACCCUGACGCAGCAACGCCGCGUGGAGGAUGAAGUCCUUCGGGACGUAAACUCCUUUCGAUCGGGACGAUUAUGACGGUACCGGAAGAAGAAGCCCCGGCUAACUUCGUG